RNAcentral lists this transfer RNA (536 nucleotides) under uncultured cyanobacterium. RNAcentral's name for it is "partial 16S-23S intergenic spacer". The stretch from base 206 to 278 matches the Rfam family "tRNA". The record is from RNAcentral. Lineage: Bacteria; Bacillati; Cyanobacteriota.
AGACAACAAAAUGUUUAAUAUUAUUAUUUUGUCACCUUAGGUCGAUCGGUAUCUCACGUUCUUAAUUAAUUAAGAAUUUCAUUUCCUAAGUUUUUCUAGGUCACACCCAUUAUUUUUCCUGGCCAUAAGCUCAGGUGGUUAGAGCGCACCCCUGAUAAGGGUGAGGUCCCUGGUUCAAGUCCAGGAUGGCCCAUAUCUCUAUGUUGGGGGUAUAGCUCAGUUGGUAGAGCGCCUGCUUUGCAAGCAGGAUGUCAGCGGUUCGAGUCCGCUUACCUCCACUGAUUACCACCUCUUCCAUAAUCUGUAGAAAGGAAAUGUUUUGAGUUGUGAUCAAAUUCUGAACGAAUCUAGCUUCCUAAUGAAAGCAUUAAGAUGCUGGACUCAUUGAAUUAAUUUCAUUGUUUUCAGAGAACCUUGACAACUGCAUAGAUUAUUUUUUUAAAGACAAUAAGCAUCUUAAAUGAUGCAGAUUUAUUAUUUGUGCGAAUGCAUUAAUAACAAUUCUAUUAAGCUGAUGCUUCAAUUUUGAAGUUAUU